GACGAACGCUGGCGGCGUGCUUAACACAUGCAAGUCGAACGCUGAAGCACCAGCUUGCUGGUGUGGAUGAGUGGCGAACGGGUGAGUAAUACGUGAGUAACCUGCCCUUGACUCUGGGAUAAGCCCGGGAACCUGGGUCUAAUACUGGAUGCUACAUGUCACCGCAUGGUGGUGUGUGGAAAGGGUUUACUGGUCUUGGAUGGGCUCACGGCCUAUCAGCUUGUUGGUGAGGUAAUGGCUCACCAAGGCGACGACGGGUAGCCGGCCUGAGAGGGUGACCGGCCACACUGGGACUGAGACACGGCCCAGACUCCUACGGGAGGCAGCAGUGGGGAAUACUGCACAAUGGGCGAAAGCCUGAUGCAGCGACGCCGCGUGAGGGAUGACGGCCUUCGGGUUGUAAACCUCUUUCAGCAGGGAAGAAGCCACAAGUGACGGUACCUGCAGAAGAAGCGCCGGCUAACUACGUGCCAGCAGCCGCAGUAA
Molecule: ribosomal RNA, 486 nt
Filed under: uncultured bacterium
Lineage: Bacteria
Description: partial 16S ribosomal RNA
Rfam family: Bacterial small subunit ribosomal RNA
Source: RNAcentral